RNAcentral lists this long non-coding RNA (653 nucleotides) under Mustela putorius furo (domestic ferret). Its description in RNAcentral is "lncRNA (ENSMPUG00000025620.1)". Lineage: Eukaryota; Metazoa; Chordata; Mammalia; Carnivora; Mustelidae. The record is from RNAcentral.
AAAAUGAUAGUCUCAGGGAGGUGUUGGGGACCUAGUGGUCAAUCUUACAUGUGUCCAAUCAGAAAGGCAAAGGUCCUGUUCAUUUAGAAAGAAAUGGGAUUGUGUGAACCAAUUUAGAACUAUCAGAACAAUGACCUGGAAGAGGAGCCUCAUUCUAAUUAUGACUCUGUGUUCCAACCAGGCAUGAAAGAAAUCACAGUAAACCUAUUUCAGAGAAAGGCAAUCCCCAAUGUGGCAGAGUCUGCUGUCUUAUGCACAGUGAGGGCCAGUGAGUCAGGGAGGAAGCACACUAGAAAAUGAUCUUCGAUGACUAACACAGAGGCGGCUGUUCUCAUGUUGCCCUGAUGGAAAAAUUGGUGGGAUCACAGGAAUUAAUAAGAACUAUCGGCCCCUGCUGGGAUGCUCUGUCUUAAAAUGGGGACUUGUAUGUAUUUAAAUGGGAGGCGCUGGAUGGCACAAGAAGUCUGUCCUGGGAAGAUGAGAGGACUAAGUGGUACUUUGUCAUUAACCAACCCACAGGAUCACUCUGCACUAUCCGCAUGUGAGGACACAGCGAGAAGAUGGCCAUCUGUGAGCCAAGAACUGGGCUCUCACCAGAUACGGAAUCUGCCAGCCCCUUGAUCUUGGACUCACCAGCCUCCAGAACUGAGAAG